CUACGGGGUGCUGCAGUGGGGAAUAUUGGACAAUGGGGGAAACCCUGAUCCAGCAAUGCCGCGUGUGUGAAGAAGGUCUGCGGGUUGUAAAGCACUUUCGGUUGGGAGGACUGCUUCUAGCACUAAUAUUGUUGGAAGUUGACGUUACCUUCAGAAGAAGCACCGGCUAACUCCGUGCCAGCAGCCGCGGUAAUACGGGAGGGUGCAAGCGUUAAUCGGAAUUACUGGGCGUAAAGCGCGCGUAGGCGGCUAGAUCAGUCGGGUGUGAAAGCCCCGGGCCUAACCUGGGAACUGCAUCCGAUACUGUCUAGCUUGAGUACAGGAGAGGAGAGUGGAAUUCCACAUGUAGCGGUGAAAUGCGUAGAUAUGUGGAGGAACACCAAUGGCGAAGGCAGCUCUCUGGCCUGAUACUGACGCUGAGGUGCGAAAGCGUGGGGAGCAAACAGGAUUAGAUACCCUCGUAGUC
This 466-nucleotide ribosomal RNA is filed under the name uncultured bacterium. Its description in RNAcentral is "partial 16S ribosomal RNA". It matches the Rfam family "Bacterial small subunit ribosomal RNA", at positions 339 to 795 of the family's 1533-position model. The record is from RNAcentral.